Molecule: ribosomal RNA, 490 nt
Filed under: uncultured bacterium
Lineage: Bacteria
Description: partial 16S ribosomal RNA
Rfam family: Bacterial small subunit ribosomal RNA
Source: RNAcentral
AUUGAACGCUGGCGGCAUGCCUUACACAUGCAAGUCGAACGGCAGCAUGAUCUAGCUUGCUAGAUUGAUGGCGAGUGGCGAACGGGUGAGUAAUACAUCGGAACGUGCCCUGUAGUGGGGGAUAACUAGUCGAAAGAUUAGCUAAUACCGCAUACGACCUGAGGGUGAAAGUGGGGGACCGCAAGGCCUCAUGCUAUAGGAGCGGCCGAUGUCUGAUUAGCUAGUUGGUGAGGUAAAGGCUCACCAAGGCGACGAUCAGUAGCUGGUCUGAGAGGACGAUCAGCCACACUGGGACUGAGACACGGCCCAGACUCCUACGGGAGGCAGCAGUGGGGAAUUUUGGACAAUGGGCGAAAGCCUGAUCCAGCAAUGCCGCGUGUGUGAAGAAGGCCUUCGGGUUGUAAAGCACUUUUGUCCGGAAAGAAAUGUCUCUGGUUAAUACCUGGGGUCGAUGACGGUACCGAAAGAAUAAGGACCGGCUAACUACGUG